ACACGAACCACACUUACCUUAUUCAUUUGAAAUGGAUGAGUAUUUAGCAAUUAAUUGGCGUGAGAAUCUGUUAACCGAUAACACUUACUUCUUCACACAGCAUGAUUAUGUCUCUUCGAAUAUGCACCAAUCACUCACAGGAGAUGUGGAGGAAAUGAUGACUACCCAGGUAAAAAAUAUUACUCUCAAUAUAUUGGGCCUAAAUGUAAAACUUCCCAGUUCAAUUCCAUUGAACAUCAAAGAUUUAUAAAUGCAUUAAAAGUGCAAAAAUCAGGAAGGC
Long non-coding RNA from Dalotia coriaria, 280 nucleotides. RefSeq lists it as uncharacterized. The record is from RefSeq and is a predicted model, not a curated record. The transcript has 3 exons. Lineage: Eukaryota; Metazoa; Arthropoda; Insecta; Coleoptera; Staphylinidae.